CGGAACGUGCCCGAUCGUGGGGGAUAGCUCGGCGAAAGCCGGAUUAAUACCGCAUACGAUCUACGGAUGAAAGCAGGGGACCGCAAGGCCUUGCGCGAACGGAGCGGCCGAUGGCAGAUUAGGUAGUUGGUGGGGUAAAGGCUCACCAAGCCGACGAUCUGUAGCUGGUCUGAGAGGGCGACCAGCCACACUGGGACUGAGACACGGCCCAGACUCCUACGGGAGGCAGCAGUGGGGAAUUUUGGACAAUGGGCGAAAGCCUGAUCCAGCAAUGCCGCGUGCAGGAUGAAGGCCUUCGGGUUGUAAACUGCUUUUGUACGGAACGAAAAGGCUCGGGUUAAUACCCUGGGCUCAUGACGGUACCGUAAGAAUAAGCACCGGCUAACUACGUGCCAGCAGCCGCGGUAAUACGUAGGGUGCGAGCGUUAAUCGGAAUUACUGGGCGUAAAGCGUGCGCAGGCGGUGAUGUAAGACAGUUGUGAAAUCCCCGGGCUCAACCUGGGAACUGCAUCUGUGACUGCAUCGCUGGAGUGCGGCAGAGGGGGAUGGAAUUCCGCGU
RNAcentral lists this ribosomal RNA (559 nucleotides) under uncultured bacterium. RNAcentral describes it as "bacterial SSU rRNA". It matches the Rfam family "Bacterial small subunit ribosomal RNA", at positions 119 to 674 of the family's 1533-position model. The record is from RNAcentral.